Molecule: non-coding RNA, 2414 nt
Organism: Cinara cedri
Lineage: Eukaryota; Metazoa; Arthropoda; Insecta; Hemiptera; Aphididae
Source: the annotation of a GenBank genome assembly
CGUUUAGCUCAGAAUCUAUAAAUUAUUAUAAGUGUAACCUUUAUUAACUAUUUAUAUAAUAUGCCUACUGUAGUAUUUAAUGGCAAUGUUUCGUUAUUAGCUUACAUAGAUAAAAAAUAAAAAACGUUAUCGUAUUAUUCACGAGCAAAAUGUUUAAUAAAAUAAUUAAAAACCAUCGAUGGAUAAUAUUUUACUUAUGAUAAUGGUUUUAAUUCGCACGUAUUAUAAUAUAUUAUAAUAAACUAUAAAGGUAGAUAGUUAUAUAAAACCGUUUUUUCUUUUUUGUUUUAUUGUAAAUAAAUAAUAAUUAUUGUUAACGAGACGUCGUGUGUCCGAGACCUACAGUGGACUAAAAACAAUAAUUAUUUUUGCAAAUAUAUAUCAACUCUAAGUCAAGGGCUCAUUUUUUGUCAUGUUUUGUAUUAUAGUACAAAAGAAAAAAAUGUCCAUACAAACUUUUUUCUAGGCUUUUGUUGUGAGAUUCUCCAUACUCUCAUUCGGCACCAUAGUACCGAUAAACUGGUGGCAAACAUCAUAGAAAACCGCUGUUUAUAUUAAAACAGAUGGACAAUGUCAACAUCAUUAGACUAAUAAUGAGUGUAUCACGUUUUACAGUGUAUAACAGUCAAAGGUUAACAAGGAAAUAUUUACGUUCAGUUUUUUUUUAAUGUUUCACGUAUUUAUAAGUAGGUAACCAACACAUUAAUGAAUUCGUUUUUUUUUUUUACUAAAAAGUUAAGACAUUUGAACUUCAAAAUAGAUACCUAAUCAUUUAAAUAAUAGUUAUCAAAAAAUAUCAAGGGGUUCAUCUAUCUAAUCUCCAUCCGUAAAUAUGCCCUUAACGUAAGCAGUAUCAUUGAUAUUGUAUCAAUAUAAUUGUGUGAUAGGUAUUCUAAUUUGUGAUCAAUCAAAAUAUUGAGCUGAACUAUAUACUGUUAAUAGAUUCUGUGUGCGGCAAAGAUUUUUACUAAGAUGUGUUUAUUUUUCUCAAAAACCCGGUUUUUGGUUGGUAAAAAGUAAGUACUGAAUUUUCCACGCAGUUUCUGAAAACAAGCGGAAUUGCGUUACUUUUGUUUAAACUCCCGAUAGUUCUUGGAGAAAAAAACACCCGGACGACAAAAUGAGGAUGUAUGCGGUAUUACAGUUUUUAUUUCGGUUGAUUUCCAGUUUAUCGUUUUUCGAUUGUCAUAAAAUCGUUGCUUUCGAUACAUUUAUAAACUAUAUAAAUCGUCAAAUUUGUUAUCAUAUACCUAUCCAAUUUCCCAUCAACUACCACAGUGGCCAUGGUGCGAAAUAUGUCCAGUGUUUUUAACAAUUUUUUUUUUCCCAGCACACAAUACCACGAGAAUCGCGACACGUAUGCCGACAUAUUUUGUACAUUACAAAAGCAAUAAUAUUCGGCGCGUAUUGUGAGAGCGUGUAAUAGACAAUACAGUACAAUACUACUACAGUGCUACGUGACGAUGCAAAAGGUCAAAAUAAAAUAGUAUACACAAUAUUCUAAAACGAUAUGACGUGUUUGGUGUCGUCAUUUGACGUCCGCACCAAUUUGCUAGUACUAAUAUCGUAUCGUUUUAUGGACGUGGGUAAUUCCGGUGCCAGUCCCACAGCCGUCAACUCCGGAAAUGGGACCUGAUUUCGUGGGGCUGCACGUAGGAGACGCGCUGUUCGUUCGGCCCCGUAACGACAACGACGGAACAAUACAAAUAUUUUUUUUAUAUUGCCAGACAGGAACUUUUAUAACGGAGUGUUGGUCGAAUAGCGCUUUUUUGCUUAAACGGUCGAUUGCACUUCAAACAAUAAAAGGUUUAAAAAACACUAAUUUUAUAUAAUUUAGUAUUUUUUUUUCCUUACAAACAAUUUAAUAAUUUAUUCAUAACAAUAAAAUAUUAAACAAAAAAUAAUAAAUAAACUUAUGCAUAUUGCCCGUAUAACAUGUGCAUCUAUUUCCGGCUACUUUUGAACAUUUUUAGCGUUUUCAAACUCAGCAAUUGUUUUAUAGGUUGACAGUAUAGUGAUCGAAUUUAAAUAUGUAUUUUACCUUGUUGUUGUAGGUAGAUGAGGUUUUUAAAGUUUUGAACACCACUAAAGGCACCCUAAAUUAAGCAAUGAAGCAUAAAAGAUGCAUAGUAUACGUAUCGAGGAUGUGCCUUUUGGAGGUUUUGAUUUUCAAUCGCCUCCAUAAACAUUUUUGUACAAAAAAAGCUGGAUUUAAAAUAUCACUACAAACGCAUAAAAAAGACGGGUUUGCACGAUUGGUGGGCCACUGUUGUAGGUGGUAAGUUGGGAAGACAGGAUACAAAGGGGGAUAUAAUGUACAUCCAUAGGUGCCCGCAGGAAAUUUAUCAGGGAGGGGCAUUCAAAAUAAAACACCAAAAAGUACUUAAAAUAAAAUAAUAUUUGAAAUGUUGAAG